RNAcentral lists this ribosomal RNA (254 nucleotides) under uncultured bacterium. Its description in RNAcentral is "partial 16S ribosomal RNA". It matches the Rfam family "Bacterial small subunit ribosomal RNA", at positions 524 to 776 of the family's 1533-position model. The record is from RNAcentral.
UACGGAGGAUGCAAGCGUUAUCCGGAAAUGAUUGGGCGUAAAGCGUCCGCAGGUGGCAAUGUAAGUCUGCUGUCAAAGCGUCUGGCUCAACCAGAUAAAGGCAGUGGAAACUACAUAGCUAGAGUAAGGUAGGGGUAGAGGGAAUUCCUGGUGUAGCGGUGAAAUGCGUAGAGAUCAGGAAGAACACCGGUGGCGAAAGCGCUCUGCUGGACCUUAACUGACACUCAGGGACGAAAGCUAGGGGAGCGAAUGGG